UAGGUCAGCGGCGGACGGGUGAGUAACACGUGGGUAACCUGCCUGUAAGACUGGGAUAACUCCGGGAAACCGGGGCUAAUACCGGAUGCUUGAUUGAACCGCAUGGUUCAAUCAUAAAAGGUGGCUUUUAGCUACCACUUGCAGAUGGACCCGCGGCGCAUUAGCUAGUUGGUGAGGUAACGGCUCACCAAGGCGACGAUGCGUAGCCGACCUGAGAGGGUGAUCGGCCACACUGGGACUGAGACACGGCCCAGACUCCUACGGGAGGCAGCAGUAGGGAAUCUUCCGCAAUGGACGAAAGUCUGACGGAGCAACGCCGCGUGAGUGAUGAAGGUUUUCGGAUCGUAAAACUCUGUUGUUAGGGAAGAACAAGUACCGUUCGAAUAGGGCGGUACCUUGACGGUACCUAACCAGAAAGCCACGGCUAACUACGUGCCAGCAGCCGCGGUAAUACGUAGGUGGCAAGCGUUGUCCGGAAUUAUUGGGCGUAAAGCGCGCGCAGGCGGUUUCUUAAGUCUGAUGUGAAAGCCCCCGGCUCAACCGGGGAGGGUCAUUGGAAACUGGGGAACUUGAGUGCAGAAGAGGAGAGUGGAAUUCCACGUGUAGCGGUGAAAUGCGUAGAGAUGUGGAGGAACACCAGUGGCGAAGGCGACUCUCUGGUCUGUAACUGACGCUGAGGCGCGAA
This 685-nucleotide ribosomal RNA is filed under the name uncultured Bacilli bacterium. RNAcentral describes it as "bacterial SSU rRNA". It matches the Rfam family "Bacterial small subunit ribosomal RNA", at positions 88 to 757 of the family's 1533-position model. The record is from RNAcentral. Lineage: Bacteria; Bacillati; Bacillota; Bacilli.